This 485-nucleotide ribosomal RNA is filed under the name uncultured bacterium. RNAcentral's name for it is "partial 16S ribosomal RNA". It matches the Rfam family "Bacterial small subunit ribosomal RNA", at positions 28 to 507 of the family's 1533-position model. The record is from RNAcentral.
GAUGAACGCUGGCGGCGUGCCUAAUACAUGCAAGUCGAACGCUGGAAAUCUAGCUUGCUAGAUUGAAGGAGUGGCGAACGGGUGAGUAAUACAUAAGCAACCUACCCACGAAGACUGGGAUAAUCUCUGGAAACGGGGACUAAUACCGGAUAGGUAAUCGGAAGGCAUCUUCUGAUUAUUAAAGGUUAAACACACUGGUGGAUGGGCUUAUGGCGCAUUAGUUAGUUGGUGAGGUACGGCCCACCAAGACGAUGAUGCGUAGCCGGACUGAGAGGGUGAACGGCCACAUUGGGACUGAGACACGGCCCAGACUCCUACGGGAGGCAGCAGUAGGGAAGUUUCGGCAAUGGGGGAAACCCUGACCGAGCAACGCCGCGUGAGUGAUGACGGCCUUCGGGUUGUAAAGCUCUGUUGUAAGGGAAGAACGGUAGAUAGAGAAUAUCUAAAUGACGGUACCUUACCAGAAAGCCACGGCUAACUACGUG